RNAcentral lists this small nucleolar RNA (112 nucleotides) under Cephalotus follicularis. RNAcentral describes it as "Plant small nucleolar RNA R71". It matches the Rfam family "Plant small nucleolar RNA R71". From Rfam's summary of the family: R71 is a member of the C/D box family of snoRNAs containing the C (UGAUGA) and D (CUGA) box motifs. Lineage: Eukaryota; Viridiplantae; Streptophyta; Magnoliopsida; Oxalidales; Cephalotaceae. The record is from Rfam by way of RNAcentral.
ACGACAUGAUGGGGACAUUUCCUGAUGAGGACCUUUAAUCUCACCCAUGACUCAUGACACUGCUCACCAUCUUGCUGCGAGAAACUAGUGAGAGCUCAUCUUAUUUGGUUGU